This 3465-nucleotide unclassified non-coding RNA is filed under the name Gigantopelta aegis. Its description in RNAcentral is "uncharacterized LOC121383106, transcript variant X2". The record is from RNAcentral. Lineage: Eukaryota; Metazoa; Mollusca; Gastropoda; Neomphalida; Peltospiridae.
CGACGAUCUCAUAGUCCGUUGGCCGCGUGCAUCCAUCCAAGAUGGGCCUGAAACUGAUCUCGCUUUUGUUUCUGGUUACUGGUGUAACUUUGUGUCAUGGGUGGUCAGGAAAUGUCUGUUAUCGCAGAGUUGUUACAUACCAUAACGUAAGAGUGUGUGCUUAUUGGACUUGGCUUGGGUGCUGUUAUCGGCCAUACAGGUGGGUAGCGAGAUACCACUACGAAGCCUACUGCUGUCCUGGGUGGACCUAUCUGUCCUAUUAUAGGAAAGACUGCGUCAAAGCCAUCUGUCGUCCAAACUGCAAAAACGGAGGACACUGUGACAGACCCGGUCACUGUAACUGCCGCUCUGGUUAUGACGGAUACAGAUGUGAUGGACUGCAAUGUUCACACCGGACAGCGUGUUACCCUGGCAUGUGUGAACGGAAUCCGGACAGAACCACCACUACCUGUACCUGUGAGGAUGGAUUCGGCGGACCUAAGUGUAUCAACAUGCCAGCAAAAUCAGCACCUGAUAUCAACACCAUUCAGGCUAGAAUGUCAUUUUGGAUGAGAGGAAUAACCAAUCCGAUGGAAAAAUACUCCCUCUUGGUGGAUUCGACCAAUAAGAAGGAGACUGAUUUCUUAUGGACCAAUCGAGCUCAGUUUAACUGGAUCAACAUCACAGCUGUCAGUCAGUACAUGGGAGAUGAUCUCCCGCCAAAACCAGCUUGGAUAAAAGAAGCCAAAUUCGGCAUAAUAGACGCUGAAGUGAACAUCCGGUUAACUAAACUGUCCUAUCAAGAUACUAGCAAAUUUGUUAGCAAAGAUGAAACUCUGAAGUGUAACCGGACCUUUACAUCUUUGAAUAUUGGUACACGAUCACCUGCCCCGGAUGUCGUAAACUGCAGUAUCAGUCUUCCAAACUUUGACAGGCAGCUGGAAAAUGGCGACAGACUGACCGUGACCUUCACAACUAAAAGUGGCGGAUAUCGUAGACUGGUGGAUACAAAACAUCCUUACUGGACAUAUGAGACACACGAUUUUAACGGACAUGUUAAAGUUAAGGAUGUUGAGUUCCGGUUUGAUACAGCUAAACCAAAACACUGUAGACUUAAAAAUCCGUCCUGUACAGAUGAAAUAUUUAGUGUGGAUAAUGACAUACAUGUCACAAACACUCCAAUUAUUUUGAAUUGGAAUGGCUGGACUGACACUCUGUCUGGAAUGUUCCGCUACGCUUGGGAAGUCUUCAAAUUGGUGCCAGACAUUAGCGGUAAACUGCACGAGCAAUAUCCACUGAAACCCUUGAAGAUAACGGAAGUGAUGCACGCAAACCUUAGUAGCGUGACGCCGUCUUUUCAUCCUUCUGAACCCGGGAUGUAUUCUUUCAUCCUAGAAGCAUCAGAUAUGGCAAACAACUCUGUCUUUAUCAGACGCUUAUGUCUGUAUGACCCAUCAUCUGAAAUCACCUUCAAUUCCAUUGCGCUAAAAAUAGAUUCCGCUAGAGGAUUCGACAAAGAUGUCUGGAGUUCUGACGUAACCAAUCCACUGGUCGUUAACUGGAAAGAUCAUUUUGUUAACAAGAUUCACGAAGACAACAAACUUCUUAACCUUGUGAAAGUGUAUCCACAGCAACUGGAAGAUGGCCUGAAGAAAAUUACGGAUGAUGACAAUUAUGGAGCAAGAACAGUAGCAGCCAUCGACAACAGCCGCGGCAUUGUCAAGUUCGAGAUUGCCCACGCAAAGGACAGUAAAGGAGGACAAGGACAACACGAGCCGACGACUGGAUGGAGAACUUUAAGUUCUUCAACUCUGAGCACAACUGUCAGUCCCAAUAAUCCAAGUCGAGGAGACACCGUCAGUAUCUGGGUUCGAGCAACGGACAUCACAGAUCGAAGUAAGACAGACGUGAUCCGGGUUCAUUAUGAUGAUUCACCACCAAGCGCAUUAAAAACAGUAAAGUUUAAAAGAAAUGUUCCAGGCACUUACCCAUUUGGAUCGAAAGUUAAUUUGACCAUGUUUGACAUGGACAGUGGGAUUUAUCAAGUUAACAUGACAACCGUGCGACUGAAGUCAGCUACUAAUAUGAUGUCUCAUUCCUACAAAAUUCCGACAAUACCAAAGUCAGAAUGUCAAGAUUUUUUAGAAGACAACUGUUUCUGCUCGAGUGACCAGCCAGACAUGUGUCAAAGGAAAACUCAAGUUCUAGAUAUCGACAACUGCUGGCUGAUGGUUGAUAAAGAUGGACUCAAAUCCGAGACCGUUGAAUUGCACUUUACGAUAUUUAAUAAUGCGCUUCUCUCGGUCACUCGCAAAGUCCAGGUUUCAAAUCUGUUGAGCCUGAAUGGCACAGAAUCUUUCCUGGGUCCUAUGCGUAUUCGUAAUGAAAGUGUCACCCAGACUGGAGCUAGGAUCAGGUGGGACCACGCCCCCGCAUGUUACAAACGGACUGAAAUGUGGAUCAACUACAAGAACAAAGAUGGAAAGCUCAUAAAGAAGAGUUUACAUAAAAACGCAGUGUAUGAAGAUAUUAUCGGACUCGAACCCGGUACCAACUACACCAUACAGCUGAUAACUCAGUAUGCAGAGGUGAUGAGUGAACCAGUGAACUUUUUACUUGUAACUCAGUCUGACCCAGUAUCCAGUGGUCUUAGUGGCGGCUCAGCUGCUGGGGUCUCUUUUGGAGUAUUACUCUUAAUUGCCUUUGUCCUACUGAUUGUCGGAUUUCUAAUGUGGCGACAAGGGCGAAUCCAAACGGUGGGACAGGUCCUGCGGUUCGAUAGGUUGGAUCAUUUGAUACAGGUCGUGACACAUAAUGAAGGGGAGGCUUCUACUCCAGCAGCGGGCAGCAAGGUUAAGAGACAGCCAACAGUCUCCCUUGCUGUUGGUAAUAGCACAUACUCUCCGGAUGAUGAAAUCUAUCUGUACGGAAGCAUGGCCUUCGAAGCGAAACAGUCGUGGUAUGUCUACCAUGACGAUCUGACGUUGGUAAAACUCAUCCACACAGGACGAUUUGCUAAAAUAUACACGGCCACGUGGAAGGGCGCUCCUAAAGACCACAAUGAGGUCAUUGCUAAGAUGGUCAAAGAUGAUCACACAGAAGAAGACGCUCUUAUCAUGAUGGCAAAGAUCAACUUUCAAGCCACCGAAGUUGGAGAGCAUCCAAACAUCUUGCGAUUCUUCGGAGCUGUUGUGGACAAUGAUGAAUGUAGUGGGUCCCAUAAUUAUUUUGGAGUACUGCGAGACUGGACAGCUUGACCAAUGGUUGACCAAACAGCAAGGCAAGACAACAGAUGACACCAUCGAGAAGAUGCAGAGGAUUGCCAUGGAGAUCGCGCAGGCCAUGGAGUACCUUACGUCACGAGGGAUCGUACACAAGAAGCUUGCAGCAAGAAAUGUGCUUCUAACCUUCAUUCUUCAAGCGAAGGUCACAGGAUUUGGGCCUCAACGAGGAGAUGACGCGGAAGAAGAUGAAAACUCGAAAGGG